UCCACACUCUCAGUCAUGUCAGUCAACAUGAGAAUUUUUUUUCCAAUUUCACAAAUUUCCUUUCUUAAUUCUUUGAAAUGGAAUGUCGGAACUGCUUCAAAAACUUGUUGAUGACUUGAUGAUCUGACUGUUGUUGCAUGAAUCCAAUUAAAUUGAUGGAUACGGACUCAUAAAAAUGUGACUUGGCUAACUUAACCUUACAGUAGUGUUUUAGUUUUUCAGAAUCAGAUAAGACAACAAUCUCAUUCUCAAAAUGUCGGAGCCUUUAGCUGGAGAUGUUCGAGGAAGGAGUGCAAUAGAUAGAGAAGAUGGUAGCACUGCAAUUAGUGCAAAGAAAUCCAAGAAGUAGUCAAUCUCACCGGAGAGAAUAAUUUUCAGAGUCUGUGUGAGCAGUCGCAGUUCUACUGCCAGGAUGAACAGGGGAGUUGUCAUGGUGACAACUUCUACAACGAGGAUAAACAGCCUUCAAGGGAACACCCAGCCUGUUCUGGGCAGCAGAGGCAUGGCCAAGAGAACCAAGCCAACACUGGUGGAGAGGGGACCAGUCACAAUGGAAGUAGAGUUGCCCCAAAUCAACAAGAUUCGGACCAAGAGGGCCACAUGACCUCCUGUUCACAUCUUAUGAAGCAAAUUGGCGAGGAAUUAAAUUACAUCCACGGGGCAUUUAGACCCCUCUUCAUAGACUGUGAAAUAGCUGAGAACAUGUGCAUUGAUCAUUUGGACAGUCUCCUCACUCAAGCCAAGGAGUAUGAAGAAACCUUGAUCGCCCAGAAGCAACAACUUCGAGGACGACUCAGCAUUUUGUCCCAGACACUAAAAAACAUUUAAUGAUUCUAAAAGUACACUGAGCAAGGAGUUAUAAAAGAUAUUGGAUAUUAGACUAAUGCAUAUCACUGCCACUCUCACAAUUAAGAUAUUGCCUCUUAGGACAGCUUACAACUGAAAUCUGUAAACCACAACAUUUUCAAAAUUCAACAGUUCAUAGAUGUGCUCACUUUCAACAGGUGGUGGAUGCAAAGCUGCAUUUUCUUUAUGAAUUUUUGUGGUCAAAUGCCGAGUUGAAAUUCUGGCAUAUUUCAUUCAUGUCUGAAAGUGCAUUCACAAAAUGAAAUGCUUCCAAAGUCUCAUGGUUAACACAGGAAGAUUUGUAAAAACUUACUUUCACAAGCAUUACGGUUCUUCUCAAUCCUUGGUCAAAUGAUACUGUCCAUCAUUGUUGGGUAAUGUCUAGAUGACAUCAGCAGAGAUUCAAGUUUAGUGUGUUACUGGUUCCCCUCAUUCAUGUCUUGAGGAGUGGGU
Molecule: RNA transcript, 1299 nt
Organism: Lineus longissimus
Lineage: Eukaryota; Metazoa; Nemertea; Pilidiophora; Heteronemertea; Lineidae
Exons: 5
Source: RefSeq, a predicted model, not a curated record